Molecule: ribosomal RNA, 469 nt
Filed under: uncultured bacterium
Lineage: Bacteria
Description: partial 16S ribosomal RNA
Rfam family: Bacterial small subunit ribosomal RNA
Source: RNAcentral
GGACGAACGCUGGCGGUGUGCUUAACACAUGCAAGUCGAACGGAAAGGCCCUGCUUUUGUGGGGUGCUCGAGUGGCGAACGGGUGAGUAACACGUGAGUAACCUGCCCUUGACUUUGGGAUAACUUCAGGAAACUGGGGCUAAUACCGGAUAGGAGCUCCUGCUGCAUGGUGGGGGUUGGAAAGUUUCGGCGGUUGGGGAUGGACUCGCGGCUUAUCAGCUUGUUGGUGGGGUAGUGGCUUACCAAGGCUUUGACGGGUAGCCGGCCUGAGAGGGUGACCGGCCACAUUGGGACUGAGAUACGGCCCAGACUCCUACGGGAGGCAGCAGUGGGGAAUAUUGCACAAUGGGCGGAAGCCUGAUGCAGCAACGCCGCGUGCGGGAUGACGGCCUUCGGGUUGUAAACCGCUUUCGCCUGUGACGAAGCGUGAGUGACGGUAAUGGGUAAAGAAGCACCGGCUAACUACGUG